CCCUUAGAUGUUCUGGGCCGCACGCGCACUACACUGAUGCAUUCAACGGGCCUAUCCUUGACCGACAGGUCCGGGUAAUCUUUGAAUCUGCAUCGUGACGGGGAUAGAUUAUUGCAAUUAUUAAUCUUCAACGAGGAAUGCCUAGUAGGCGCAAGUCAUCAGCUUGCGUCGAUUACGUCCCUGCCCUUUGUACACACCGCCCGUCGCUCCUACCGAUUGGGUGUGCUGGUGAAAUGUUCGGAUCGGCCGUUUGUCGCGGUUUCCGCGUCAUGUGGCUGAGAAGUUCAUUAAACCCUCCCACCUAGAGGAAGGAGAAGUCGUAACA
This 325-nucleotide ribosomal RNA is filed under the name uncultured eukaryote. RNAcentral describes it as "partial 18S ribosomal RNA". It matches the Rfam family "Eukaryotic small subunit ribosomal RNA", at positions 1470 to 1796 of the family's 1831-position model. The record is from RNAcentral.